RNAcentral lists this unclassified non-coding RNA (352 nucleotides) under soil metagenome. RNAcentral's name for it is "partial contains 5.8S ribosomal RNA, internal transcribed spacer 2, and large subunit ribosomal RNA". The stretch from base 1 to 120 matches the Rfam family "5.8S ribosomal RNA", at positions 35 to 154 of the family's 154-position model. The record is from RNAcentral.
GAUGAAGAACGUAGCGAAAUGCGAUAAGUAAUGUGAAUUGCAGAAUUCAGUGAAUCAUCGAAUCUUUGAACGCACAUUGCGGCCGCCAGUAUUCUGGCGGGCAUGCCUGUUCGAGCGUCAUUUCAACCCUCAGGCCCCCAGUGCCUGGUGUUGGGGAUCGGCCCAGCCUUCCUGUAAGGCCGCCGGCCCCGAAAUCUAGUGGCGGUCUCGCUGUAGUCCUCCUCUGCGUAGUAGCACAGCCUCGCAGUUGGAACGCGGCGGUGGCCAUGCCGUUAAACACCCCACUUCUGAAAGUUGACCUCGGAUCAGGUAGGAAUACCCGCUGAACUUAAGCAUAUCAAUAAGCGGAGGA